UACGGAGGGGGCGAGCGUUAUUCGGAAUUAUUGGGCGUAAAGGGCGCGUAGGCGGCCUGGUCAGUCGAAGGUGAAAUCCCCGAGCUCAACUUGGGAACUGCCUUCGAUACUGCCGGGCUUGAGUCCGGGAGGGGAGAGUGGAAUUCCCAGUGUAGCGGUGAAAUGCGUAGAUAUUGGGAGGAACACCGGUGGCGAAGGCGGCUCUCUGGACCGGUUCUGACGCUGAGGCGCGAAAGCGUGGGUAGCAAACAGGAUUAGAUACCCUGGUAGUCCACGCCGUAAACGAUGGGUACUCGGUGCAGGGGGUAUCGACCCCUCCUGUGCCAAAGCUAACGCAUUAAGUACCCCGCCUGGGGAGUACGGUCGCAAGGCUGAA
RNAcentral lists this ribosomal RNA (376 nucleotides) under uncultured bacterium. Its description in RNAcentral is "bacterial SSU rRNA". It matches the Rfam family "Bacterial small subunit ribosomal RNA", at positions 524 to 898 of the family's 1533-position model. The record is from RNAcentral.